RNAcentral lists this long non-coding RNA (826 nucleotides) under Sitophilus oryzae (rice weevil). RNAcentral describes it as "uncharacterized LOC115890431". Lineage: Eukaryota; Metazoa; Arthropoda; Insecta; Coleoptera; Curculionidae. The record is from RNAcentral.
ACCGUCCAAUCAGAUCAAAGGAGUAAUCGUCGUAGAUCGUGCGUUAUCGAUAAUGUUCGGUGCCUGGAGAAAAUUGACAAUUGACAAGAGAAUUGUUUAUUAUUUUUGACUUUUUAGUUCGUUUAAUUUAAUAAUUACUAAAACCAGUAGUUCGAAAGAUAUAUUUAAAAAUAAAAGAUAAAAAUCCAAAAAAUUAAUUAUCUAUUAACGUGGAUUUGGACGACAAUAGGUUUUUAGUUUGUGAUGUUUCAUGUGAUGAUCAUUUUCAUGUUCAUCGUCUUUGAAUUGACAUGAGGAUAUCUAUGGAAAAGUAACUAAUCUGAAAGUAAGCCAACAUAUCGUUUGUCCUUUGUGUGCUAAAGAAAAGAUUUUCUUUUCGCAUCAUGAGGAAGUAUUACAUCAAUUAAAAAAUGUUAGGAAGUUGAUUACUUGUCAUGGAAAAGUAUACCAAUGGAAAUUAUUUGUUAAAGAAGUAUAAUUCUAAGGGUUUUAAGAAUAAAUUGGUUGAACCCAAAAUCUGGAGGAAGUACCUAUAUCCAUACACAGAAUAUGCCCAUUAAAAAUACUAGUCCAAAUUUGCUUUAAUGGUAGACAAUUAUUCAAUACAAAUUAACUUUUUAAGUGACUGAAAUAUUAAAUAGUUUAGAAUAUGGUAUAACAAUGUAAAAAAAUAUUAUUUUCAGGAACGAUUAGGGCCCGAUAUAUUUGAAACUCAUGUUGGACAUAGUAUUGAGUUGGGUAGAAUAUUAUUCUACGUUAAGUGAGGGUAUCAGAUACCUAUUAUUGUACUGUAUUUUAAUAUAUACAUUAGAAUUGUUGGUUUUUU